AUCACCAACACAAGCCUUCAAUUAAUCAGGAUAACCCGGAUAAUUGUAUCCAACAUAUAUUCCACAGAUGAAGUCCACUACAGUGGCACUGCUCAUUUUGAUGAACAUGAUGUUCACAAUUCCCUACUUUGGUCAUGCAAGUUCUCAAGGAAUUAAGGAUGAAGAAACCACCUUGCUCUCAAAGUCUUAUGCAAGCAGUGAUGGAACUAGCUUUGCAGGGGACAUGACUCUAGGAAGGAAGCUGAUGGCAGAAACCAGUAUUAAUUCAGCUGCUGUUUCCACUGAUUCAAGCCGCACAGUUUCUGUCACUUGGUACAACGACUUCAUAAGAAAUGCACGUCGUCCAUGACUGCUAUAUGAUCUAUAUAUACCGUAGCUUUGGUCUUAUAUUAAUGGCUGUGUUUCCUAAAGUCCUUAAAUGUACGUCUUCCAUGCAUAUAUAUCAGCAGGUUUGAUGGCCCUUGUGUCAUCGGAUUUUAUAUCCAUCUAAAUAAUCUCUAGGGCUCCAUCAAAUGUCAUGUAAUAGUCAUGUAAUAGUCAUGAGCAUAUUAAAUCAAUAAAGAUGUCUUGUGUGCUAGCU
Long non-coding RNA from Setaria italica (foxtail millet), 580 nucleotides. RefSeq lists it as uncharacterized. The record is from RefSeq and is a predicted model, not a curated record. The transcript has 2 exons. Lineage: Eukaryota; Viridiplantae; Streptophyta; Magnoliopsida; Poales; Poaceae.